UACGGAAGGUGCAAGCGUUGCUCGGAAUCACUGGGCGUAAAGGGCGUGUAGGCGGUCAAGUAAGUGGAAUGUGAAAGCCCCCGGCUUACCCGGGGAUCUGCAUCCCAAACUGCUUGGCUUGAGUAUGGGAGAGGAUAGGGGAAUUCCUGGUGUAGCGGUGAAAUGCGUAGAUAUCAGGAGGAACACCGGUGGCGAAGGCGCCUAUCUGGCCCAAUACUGACGCUGAGGCGCGAAAGCUAGGGGAGCAAACGGG
RNAcentral lists this ribosomal RNA (253 nucleotides) under uncultured bacterium. RNAcentral's name for it is "partial 16S ribosomal RNA". It matches the Rfam family "Bacterial small subunit ribosomal RNA", at positions 524 to 776 of the family's 1533-position model. The record is from RNAcentral.